Molecule: ribosomal RNA, 393 nt
Filed under: uncultured bacterium
Lineage: Bacteria
Description: partial 16S ribosomal RNA
Rfam family: Bacterial small subunit ribosomal RNA
Source: RNAcentral
AUACGUAGGGGGCGAGCGUUAUCCGGAAUUAUUGGGCGUAAAGGGUGCGCAGGCGGACCGGUAAGUCAGGGGUGAAAAGUCGGGGCUCAACUCCGAUCGUGCCUUUGAUACUGCCGGACUGGAGUGCGAUAGGCGUGGCCGGAAUGUGGUGUGUAGCGGUGAAAUGCUUAGAUAUGCCACAGAACACCGAUCGAGAAGUCAGGUCACGAGUUCGCAACUGACGCUCAUGCACGAAAGCGUGGGGAUCAAACAGGAUUAGAUACCCUGGUAGUCCACGCUGUAAACGAUGAUCACUCGUUGUUGGGGGGUGACCCUCAGCGGCCAAGCGAAAGCGAUAAGUGAUCCACCUGGGGAGUACGAUCGCAAGGUUGAAACUUAAAGGAAUUGACGGGG